Molecule: ribosomal RNA, 440 nt
Filed under: uncultured Psychrobacter sp.
Lineage: Bacteria; Pseudomonadati; Pseudomonadota; Gammaproteobacteria; Moraxellales; Moraxellaceae
Description: bacterial SSU rRNA
Rfam family: Bacterial small subunit ribosomal RNA
Source: RNAcentral
GGAAUAUUGGACAAUGGGGGAAACCCUGAUCCAGCCAUGCCGCGUGUGUGAAGAAGGCCUUUUGGUUGUAAAGCACUUUAAGCAGUGAAGAAGACUCCUCGGUUAAUACCCGUGGACGAUGACAUUAGCUGCAGAAUAAGCACCGGCUAACUCUGUGCCAGCAGCCGCGGUAAUACAGAGGGUGCAAGCGUUAAUCGGAAUUACUGGGCGUAAAGGGAGCGUAGGUGGCUCGAUAAGUCAGAUGUGAAAUCCCCGGGCUCAACCUGGGAACUGCAUCUGAUACUGUUGAGCUAGAGUAUGUGAGAGGAAGGUAGAAUUCCAGGUGUAGCGGUGAAAUGCGUAGAGAUCUGGAGGAAUACCGAUGGCGAAGGCAGCCUUCUGGCAUAAUACUGACACUGAGGCUCGAAAGCGUGGGUAGCAAACAGGAUUAGAUACCCCGG